ACGUAUGGGGCUAGCGUUGUUCGGAAUUAUUGGGCGUAAAGGGCGUCUAGGCGGGGGAUUAAGUUAGGUGUGAAAUCCCUGGGCUCAACCCAGGAACUGCAUCUAAAACUGGUUCUCUUGAGUUCGGGAGAGGAGAGCGGAAUUCCCGGUGUAGCGGUGAAAUGCGUAGAGAUCGGGAAGAACUCCAGUGGCGAAGGCGGCUCCCUGGUCUAGAACUGACGCUGGAGCGCUAAAGCGUGGGGAUCUAACGG
This 251-nucleotide ribosomal RNA is filed under the name uncultured prokaryote. RNAcentral's name for it is "partial 16S rRNA". It matches the Rfam family "Bacterial small subunit ribosomal RNA", at positions 525 to 775 of the family's 1533-position model. The record is from RNAcentral.